GGAAAUUUUACUAUUACGUUCAUCCGCAAUUUAACAGUGUUUAUGCCGGAAGGACAGUUCGUGCAGUCGAUGCCGCCGGACCUAACACGAAGGAGCGUUUGCCGAGUAUGUCUCGAAAGGGAUGUCACGAUUUCGUGAGACGGAUGCAAUCUCUGCACCACAUGGGAGCCUGUGGCAAAGUGCAGUCUGAGCAGCCCGACAAGGAAUCUGAUCUGCUUGCUUUGACAAGGUAUGGCUGGGCCUGCAGAGAAGGUGUAAGCAGACUGUGCUGUGUUGCUGAUCAGUGCUGAUCUCCACGCCUGAGUUGGUCCCACAACAUCCAGGCACCAGCGU
Dermacentor silvarum is the source of this 333-nucleotide long non-coding RNA. RefSeq lists it as uncharacterized. The record is from RefSeq and is a predicted model, not a curated record. NCBI's taxonomy places the organism in Eukaryota, Metazoa, Arthropoda, Arachnida, Ixodida, Ixodidae. The transcript has 3 exons.